UCCCUGGUGGCUCAGACGGUAAAGCGUCUGCCUGCAAUGCAGGAGAUCCAGGUUCAAUCCCUGAGUUGGGAA
This 72-nucleotide transfer RNA is filed under the name Bos taurus (domestic cattle). It matches the Rfam family "tRNA". Rfam says of the family: Transfer RNA (tRNA) molecules are approximately 80 nucleotides in length. Their secondary structure includes four short double-helical elements and three loops (D, anti-codon, and T loops). The record is from Rfam by way of RNAcentral. RNAcentral also lists the same sequence under 2 other names. Lineage: Eukaryota; Metazoa; Chordata; Mammalia; Artiodactyla; Bovidae.